Molecule: long non-coding RNA, 543 nt
Organism: Mizuhopecten yessoensis (Yesso scallop)
Lineage: Eukaryota; Metazoa; Mollusca; Bivalvia; Pectinida; Pectinidae
Exons: 2
Source: RefSeq, a predicted model, not a curated record
CCAGUGUCUGAUUUCCGGUUAUAGUCACGAUGGUGCACAGACUUCGAUUCGCACAACGUUAUUAUAUGGAUUGAUUGGGCAUGCUGGAUGACUUGGGAUAUACCUUCUAGUGUCGCUCCAGAUAUUGAAGCAUUGACAAUGUUAUCGUUCUGUAUCUCGAGACGUUUACAAUUAGAAGCACCCAGGAUCAAAGAUCUAGACCACUGCAUUUCAGCUAUCGGCCAAAUACCAUAUGCAAUGUCAUACAAUUUUUUUUUAAGAUUAAUCAUUGGAGUGUUUGAUCCAUGCAACCUGGGUCAAGAACAUUUCUUUUCGCAAAGUUAAUGGCACUACAUUGGAUUACAACUUGACUCCAAAAUGAGAAAACUUCAUGCUUAUACACCUACCUUUUCCUAACAAAAUUGAUUCAGAGGAAUUUUGGCUCUAUAUUGAAAAUAGAUUUUGAAGAUGUCUGCUGUGGUUGCCACUUUGGACUAAACUCCAGAUGAAAAGAAAAGGUCUGGACCAUACACUGUUAAUAUCAAAUAAAUGUCAGCCAAAUCA